This 845-nucleotide ribosomal RNA is filed under the name uncultured bacterium. RNAcentral's name for it is "bacterial SSU rRNA". It matches the Rfam family "Bacterial small subunit ribosomal RNA", at positions 28 to 874 of the family's 1533-position model. The record is from RNAcentral.
CAUGAACGUUGGCGGCAUGGAUUAGGCAUGCAAGUCGCGCGAAAGCCACUUUUAGCUUGCUAUUAGGUGGAGGAGCGGCGUAAGGGAGAGUAACGGGUGGAUUAUCUACCCUCGGGUCCGGAACAGCUGUGGGAAACUGCAAGUAAUACCGGAUAACAUCUGCGGAUCAAAGGUGUGAUUCCGCCCGAGGAUGAGUCCGCCUCCUAUUAGCUUGUUGGUGGGGUAAUGGCGUACCAAGGCUACGAUGGGUACCGGGUGUGAGAGCAUGGCCCGGCUCACUGGGACUGAGACACUGCCCAGACACCUACGGGUGGCUGCAGUCGAGAAUCUUCGGCAAUGGGCGCAAGCCUGACCGAGCGAUGCCGCGUGCGGGAUGAAGGCCUUCGGGUUGUAAACCGCUGUCAGUAGGGAGGAAAUGCAUGGGGGUCAUCCUCCAUGUUUGACCUAUCUUCAGAGGAAGGACGGGCUAAGUUCGUGCCAGCAGCCGCGGUAAGACGAACCGUCCAAACGUUAUUCGGAAUUACUGGGCUUAAAGGGUGCGUAGGAGGCGCGGUUAGUCGGAUGUGAAAUCGUACAGCUCAACUGUACAACUGCGUCCGAAACUGCCGUGCUCGAGGAAGGCAGAGGUGAGCGGAACUCAGGGUGGAGCGGUGAAAUGCGUUGAUAUCCUGGGGAACACUGGUGGCGAAGGCGGCUCACUGGGCCUUUUCUGACGCUGAGGCACGAAAGCUAGGGUAGCGAACAGGAUUAGAUACCCUGGUAGUCCUAGCUGUAAACGAUGAGCACUAGGUCGAGGAGACUUCCACAUCUUCACGGCCGUAGCGAAAGUGUUAAGUGCUCCGCCU